This 72-nucleotide transfer RNA is filed under the name Escherichia coli. RNAcentral's name for it is "tRNA-Gly". It matches the Rfam family "tRNA". From Rfam's summary of the family: Transfer RNA (tRNA) molecules are approximately 80 nucleotides in length. Their secondary structure includes four short double-helical elements and three loops (D, anti-codon, and T loops). Lineage: Bacteria; Pseudomonadati; Pseudomonadota; Gammaproteobacteria; Enterobacterales; Enterobacteriaceae. The record is from RNAcentral.
GCGGGUAUCGUAUGAUGGCUAUUACCUCAGCCUUCCAAGCUGAUAACGUGGGUUCGACUCCCUCAAUCCGCU